Mya arenaria is the source of this 156-nucleotide long non-coding RNA. RefSeq lists it as uncharacterized. NCBI's taxonomy places the organism in Eukaryota, Metazoa, Mollusca, Bivalvia, Myida, Myidae. The record is from RefSeq and is a predicted model, not a curated record. The transcript has 2 exons.
GAGCAUUGUGACCAGCACCCUCCCUGGGAUGACUUACUUUUGUCCUUGGGCAUGUGCUGAAGUUAAGGGUGAGGCUUCCCUCUGUUCGUAAAAAGCAACCAGUGGUCACCCACAUUAAUUUUCUGUUCUACAUAUGAUAAUAAAACAAAAUAUUAA